This 101-nucleotide non-coding RNA is filed under the name Paenibacillus sp. Its description in RNAcentral is "TPP sequence". It matches the Rfam family "TPP riboswitch aptamer (THI element)". Rfam says of the family: Vitamin B(1) in its active form thiamin pyrophosphate (TPP) is an essential coenzyme that is synthesised by coupling of pyrimidine and thiazole moieties in bacteria. The previously detected thiamin-regulatory element, thi box was extended, resulting in a new, highly conserved RNA secondary structure, the THI element, which is widely distributed in eubacteria and also occurs in some archaea. The record is from RNAcentral. Lineage: Bacteria; Bacillati; Bacillota; Bacilli; Caryophanales; Paenibacillaceae. RNAcentral also lists the same sequence under 1 other name.
UAUUGUUUGCGGGGGGACUACUUGGUAGUUGAGAAGGUUAAAACCUGACCCUUUGAACCUGUUAGUUCAUACUGGCGUAGGGAAGCAAAUAACGAUUCAUC